UACGAAGGGGGCUAGCGUUGCUCGGAAUCACUGGGCGUAAAGGGUGCGUAGGCGGGUCUUUAAGUCAGAGGUGAAAUCCUGGAGCUCAACUCCAGAACUGCCUUUGAUACUGCAUGGCUUGAGACCGGAAGAGGUAAGUGGAACUGCGAGUGUAGAGGUGAAAUUCGUAGAUAUUCGCAAGAACACCAGUGGCGAAGGCGGCUUACUGGUCCGGUUCUGACGCUGAGGCGCGAAAGCGUGGGGAGCAAACAGG
Molecule: ribosomal RNA, 253 nt
Filed under: uncultured bacterium
Lineage: Bacteria
Description: partial 16S ribosomal RNA
Rfam family: Bacterial small subunit ribosomal RNA
Source: RNAcentral